This 352-nucleotide unclassified non-coding RNA is filed under the name soil metagenome. Its description in RNAcentral is "partial contains 5.8S ribosomal RNA, internal transcribed spacer 2, and large subunit ribosomal RNA". The stretch from base 1 to 120 matches the Rfam family "5.8S ribosomal RNA", at positions 35 to 154 of the family's 154-position model. The record is from RNAcentral.
GAUGAAGAACGCAGCGAAAUGCGAUAAGUAAUGUGAAUUGCAGAAUUCAGUGAAUCAUCGAAUCUUUGAACGCACAUUGCGCCCGCCAGUAUUCUGGCGGGCAUGCCUGUUCGAGCGUCAUCACAACCCUCAGGCCCCCGGGCCUGGCGUUGGGGAUCGGCGGAGCCCCCCGUGGGCACACGCCGUCCCCCAAAUGCAGUGGCGGUCCCGCCGCAGCUUCCAUCGCGUAGUAGCUAACACCUCGCGACUGGAGAGCGGCGCGGCCACGCCGUAAAACACCCAACUCUUCUGAAGUUGACCUCGAAUCAGGUAGGAAUACCCGCUGAACUUAAGCAUAUCAAUAAGCGGAGGA